UACGUAGGGGGCAAGCGUUGUCCGGAUUUAUUGGGCGUAAAGAGCGUGUAGGCGGCCAUGUAGGUCCGUUGUGAAAACUCGAGGCUCAACCUCGAGACGCCGAUGGAAACCAUGUGGCUAGAGUCCGGUAGGGGAGUGCGGAAUUCCUGGUGUAGCGGUGAAAUGCGCAGAUAUCAGGAGGAACACCGGUGGCGAAGGCGGCACUCUGGGCCGGUACUGACGCUGAGGAGCGAAAGCGUGGGGAGCGAACAGG
RNAcentral lists this ribosomal RNA (253 nucleotides) under uncultured bacterium. RNAcentral describes it as "partial 16S ribosomal RNA". It matches the Rfam family "Bacterial small subunit ribosomal RNA", at positions 524 to 776 of the family's 1533-position model. The record is from RNAcentral.